AGGCGUCGACGGGUAGCCGGCCUGAGAGGGUGACCGGCCACACUGGGACUGAGACACGGCCCAGACUCCUACGGGAGGCAGCAGUGGGGAAUAUUGCACGAUGGGCGCAAGCCUGAUGCAGCAACGCCGCGUGAGGGAUGACGGCCUUCGGGUUGUAAACCUCUUUUAGCAGGGAAGAAGCGAGAGUGACGGUACCUGCAGAAAAAGCACCGGCUAACUACGUGCCAGCAGCCGCGGUAAUACGUAGGGUGCAAGCGUUAUCCGGAAUUAUUGGGCGUAAAGAGCUCGUAGGCGGUUUGUCGCGUCUGCUGUGAAAUCUGGGGGCUCAACCCCCAGCCUGCAGUGGGUACGGGCAGACUAGAGUGCGGUAGGGGAGAUUGGAAUUCCUGGUGUAGCGGUGGAAUGCGCAGAUAUCAGGAGGAACACCGAUGGCGAAGGCAGAUCUCUGGGCCGUUACUGACGCUGAGGAGCGAAAGGGUGGGGAGCAAACAGGCUUAGAUACCCUGGUAGUCCACCCCGUAAACGUUGGGAACUAGUUGUGGGGUCCAUUCCACGGAUUCCGUGACGCAGCUAACGCAUUAAGUUCCCCGCCUGGGGAGUACGGCCGCAAGGCUAAAACUCAAAGGAAUUGACGGGGACCCGCACAAGCGGCGGAGCAUGCGGAUUAAUUCGAUGCAACGCGAAGAACCUUACCAAGGCUUGACAUAUACGAGAACGGGCCAGAAAUGGUCAACUCUUUGGACACUCGUAAACAGGUGGUGCAUGGUUGUCGUCAGCUCGUGUCGUGAGAUGUUGGGUUAAGUCCCGCAACGAGCGCAACCCUCGUUCUAUGUUGCCAGCACGUAAUGGUGGGAACUCAUGGGAUACUGCCGGGGUCAACUCGGAGGAAGGUGGGGAUGACGUCAAAUCAUCAUGCCCCUUAUGUCUUGGGCUUCACGCAUGCUACAAUGGCCGGUACAAUGGGCUGCAAUACCGUGAGGUGGAGCGAAUCCCAAAAAGCCGGUCCCAGUUCGGAUUGAGGUCUGCAACUCGACCUCAUGAAGUCGGAGUCGCUAGUAAUCGCAGAUCAGCAACGCUGCGGUGAAUACGUUCCCGGGUCUUGUACACACCGCCCGUCAAGUCAUGAAAGUCGGUAACACC
This 1140-nucleotide ribosomal RNA is filed under the name Microbacterium murale. RNAcentral describes it as "bacterial SSU rRNA". It matches the Rfam family "Bacterial small subunit ribosomal RNA", at positions 271 to 1421 of the family's 1533-position model. The record is from RNAcentral. Lineage: Bacteria; Bacillati; Actinomycetota; Actinomycetes; Micrococcales; Microbacteriaceae.